AAAUAAAUACUCUCUCCUCCGCGUAGUUUCCGUCAACUGUCACCGCCUUGGCUCCCAAUCACCUUCAAGUCCAAACAGGAAGGUGCAGGGAGGCAAGGGAGAUGGCAGAUAUGAGCUUUAAUUUGCUUCUCGCUGCACUUUAGCCCCGGUGCACGCGGCUUCCUAUUCCCCCGCUCUGACCAGCUGCCCCGACUGCGCUCCCGCACCCCAGAGUCCUUCCUGUCACCUUUCAUUACCACAUUAUCCAGGAGGCGGCUCCCCGCGCAGCCGGGAAUUCACCAUCUGAAGUGUCGGAGGACCCGUCAGAGGCGAUCAGGGUUAAGCAUCUUGCCCAAGGACACAACAGCAUGAGGGACUAUGGGAAGCUGGGAUCGAACCGCCGACCUUCGGGGUUAGUGGACGACCGACUCUACCCCCUGAGCCUGUGGGAGGCAGCAGUGGUACCUGUAUUUCAUCAAGAUGGGUUACUCGAUGAAAACUCAUUCAUGGCCAAACUGUCGAUUUAUAAAAGCAGGAAAAACAAGACAGAAAAUAUCUCCGGACAAGAGCUGACACAAAUGUACGCGUCUCUGGUAAGAGCCAGAGUGAGAGUGGAUUUCAGAUUCCACUCUCUGAUGAAGGACAUACAGGAGUUUUUGAACCAGUGGUGUUUCACCACGUCUGUGUGUUCAGUGAAGGAGGGAGA
Molecule: long non-coding RNA, 685 nt
Organism: Scophthalmus maximus (turbot)
Lineage: Eukaryota; Metazoa; Chordata; Actinopteri; Pleuronectiformes; Scophthalmidae
Exons: 3
Source: RefSeq, a predicted model, not a curated record